This 254-nucleotide ribosomal RNA is filed under the name uncultured bacterium. RNAcentral's name for it is "partial 16S ribosomal RNA". It matches the Rfam family "Bacterial small subunit ribosomal RNA", at positions 524 to 776 of the family's 1533-position model. The record is from RNAcentral.
UACGUAGGGACCAAGCGUUGUUCGGAUUUACUGGGCGUAAAGGGCGCGUAGGCGGCAUAUUAAGUCAGCUGUGAAAUCUCCGAGCUUAACUCGGAACUGUCAGCUGAUACUGAUGUGCUAGAGUGCAGAAGGGGCAAUCGGAAUUCUUGGUGUAGCGGUGAAAUGCGUAGAUAUCAAGAGGAACACCUGAGGUGAAGACGGGUUGCUGGGCUGACACUGACGCUGACAGCGCGAAAGCCAGGGGAGCAAACGGG